CCUACGGGAGGCAGCAGUCGAGAAUCAUUCACAAUGGGGGAAACCCUGAUGGUGCGACGCCGCGUGGGGGAAUGAAGGUCUUCGGAUUGUACACCCCUGUCAUGUGGGAGCAAAUUAAAAAGAUAGUACCACAAGAGGAAGAGACGGCUAACUCUGUGCCAGCAGCCGCGGUAAUACAGAGGUCUCAAGCGUUGUUGGGAAUCACUGGGCGUAAAGCGUGCGUAGGCUGUUUCGUAAGUAGUGUGUGAAAGGCGCGGGCUCAACCCGCAGACGGCACAUGAUACUGCGAGACUAGAGUAAUGGAGGGGGAACCGGAAUGCUCGGUGUAGCAGUGAAAUGCGUAGAUAUCGAGAGGAACACUCGUGGCGAAGGCGGGUUCCUGGACAUUAACUGACGCUGAGGCACGAAGGCCAGGGGAGCGAAAGGGAUUAGAUACCCUUGUAGUC
Molecule: ribosomal RNA, 446 nt
Filed under: uncultured bacterium
Lineage: Bacteria
Description: partial 16S ribosomal RNA
Rfam family: Bacterial small subunit ribosomal RNA
Source: RNAcentral